AAUCCGUCGACUUCAGAAAUCGUGAGGGUUCAAGUCCCUCUAUCCCCAA
Molecule: transfer RNA, 49 nt
Filed under: Monopteryx inpae
Lineage: Eukaryota; Viridiplantae; Streptophyta; Magnoliopsida; Fabales; Fabaceae
Description: partial tRNA-Leu
Source: RNAcentral